GUUUUUGUUCUAUUAUUAAGAUUACUUUUACUGUUGAAUGGUUUUAUGUGAUAUCCGUUUGAUUUGGCUCUGUACUUAUACAUCUCGUCAAUGUGUUUGUAUUGGCUUUCAUUUUUUGGCGAUUUGUUUUGUAUAUGUGACUCUUUGUAUUUCUUUUGUGCUUAUAACGUGACUCUGUAGAUCCCGUCAGUAUGAUAUUUGUC
This 203-nucleotide long non-coding RNA is filed under the name Mytilus galloprovincialis (Mediterranean mussel). The record is from RNAcentral. Lineage: Eukaryota; Metazoa; Mollusca; Bivalvia; Mytilida; Mytilidae.